AAACUAACAAGGAUUCCCCUAGUAACGGCGAGUGAAGCGGGAAGAGCUCAAAUUUGUAAUCUGGCACUUUCAGUGUCCGAGUUGUAAUCUCGAGAAGUAUUUUCCGCGCCGGACCGCAUACAAGUCUGUUGGAAUACAGCGUCAUAGUGGUGAGAACCCCGUAACUGAUGCGGAUGCCCGGUGCUUUGUGAUAUACUUUCGAAGAGUCGAGUUGUUUGGGAAUGCAGCUCAAAUUGGGUGGUAAAUUCCAUCUAAAGCUAAAUAUUGGAGCAAGACCGAUAGCGAACAAGUACCGUGAGGGAAAGAUGAAAAGCACUUUGGAAAGAGAGUUAACAGUACGUGAAAUUGUUGGAAGGGAAACGCUUGAAGUCAGACUUGCUAUUCGGAGUUCAGCCGCAAGGUGUAUUCUUCGAUUUGCAGGCCAGCAUCAGUUUUUGGGGGUGGAAAAUCGUGGUUUGAAGGUAGCAGUUUCGGCUGUGUUAUAGCUUUCCACUGGAUUCAUCUUCGGGGACUGAGGAACGCAGUACGCUUUUUGCAAGGCUCUCGAGCUUUUCGUACUUAGGAUGCUGGUGGAAUGGCUUUAAACGAC
RNAcentral lists this ribosomal RNA (589 nucleotides) under Leucosporidium scottii. RNAcentral describes it as "eukaryotic LSU rRNA". It matches the Rfam family "Eukaryotic large subunit ribosomal RNA", at positions 62 to 648 of the family's 3401-position model. Lineage: Eukaryota; Fungi; Basidiomycota; Microbotryomycetes; Leucosporidiales; Leucosporidiaceae. The record is from RNAcentral.